AGUUAGUUCCUUUAGAUUGAGCGAGUGCUCGAAGUUGUAGUAGAAAGAUGAACAUGAGAGAUUGGUCUGGGUUUGCCCCCAAAACACGUAUGGAUCUCUCUGCCAUUUCCCAAGUUUGAGACUUUGUAUUCGCCUUGACUGCCAGUGUGCAAAGCGGUGGAUAUAUAGAAUUUCAGAUUAAAUCUCCUCCAACACAGCAGAGUGCAUAGUUUGUGUGAAACGAUUAAAAAUGGCCGAUGAAGCCAACAGAGCUGCAUUCAUGGAGAUUCAAGGUCGCGUGAUGAGCUCACCACCAAACUGAAGCAGUUUUUUUUUUUACCCACUUCAGUACAGAUAUAUCAAAUAUGGUGAAAUCGUGACUUAUUAAUGGAGAAUUCAAAUAGAUUUAAGGUGCAGAACUAUAAGUAGUAUUAAUCAUUUCAAGAUGCUAAUGCUGGUGGUAUUAAUCAAAUAAGCUGAAGAACUAGCCGCCGCUGUAGCAGCAAUAAAGGGUCAUCCUGUAGAAAAUGAUACCGAUGCGGUAUGAAUAUCAAUUUCUUGAGAUGCUGAUCAGCUUUUGGAAUCUAAAAGGAAGGAUUCAUUGAUAUCGGUACUAUCUGGCAUGCGAUCCAGAUCAAGUAUGCUUUGUUCUGUCAGUCUAUGGCAUUCAAUAUGAUUCAGGCUUUAAUCUCCAGAUUUGUAACACAUAACAGUUUGUGGUACCAAGCAUGUCCACACUGUUUUCGACAACUGAAACAAAAGAAGAACAACGAUAUGCUAAUCUGUCUGGAACACAAUAUGCAAGUGCCUCUUCCAUGGUAACAAACUAACAACUUCAUCCUAACUACAUCAUAAUGUGGGGGCUUUUGACCAUUGGAGCAGUGCUCAAUUUUCUUGGAUGUGGAUUGCUUUGGCUUAUAGUCUCACAAAAGAUUGCUGCUUUGCCUUUGUGGGUGUAUAGUGCUUGGCAUCACACUUGAGUAAGGAGAUUUACGAAGGCUGUCGUGGUUGUGAGUCCAAAGGAAAACUAUUGUACUGCUUGCUUAUACUGCUGUCAUCAAAACAAGGUAGGAGUUGCUGCAUGACACUGGAUUGUAAAACUUCCUCACUAUAGUUUCUUGCUGAACCAAAAUUUGUACAACUAGUGUG
Long non-coding RNA from Rosa chinensis, 1128 nucleotides. RefSeq lists it as uncharacterized. NCBI's taxonomy places the organism in Eukaryota, Viridiplantae, Streptophyta, Magnoliopsida, Rosales, Rosaceae. The record is from RefSeq and is a predicted model, not a curated record. The transcript is spliced from 7 exons.